AGCCUUCUGUAUCAGUGCCGAGAUUUCGUCACACCAGAUCACAAGAGCCGAUGGGACUUCCAAGAUAAGUAAAGCG
Molecule: microRNA precursor, 76 nt
Filed under: Schistosoma mansoni
Lineage: Eukaryota; Metazoa; Platyhelminthes; Trematoda; Strigeidida; Schistosomatidae
Description: mir-3492 microRNA precursor family
Rfam family: mir-3492 microRNA precursor family
Source: Rfam by way of RNAcentral